AUUAAUUUUAACCAUGGAGAACUGUCUUGCUAUCAAUAUUGUUUGUUGCAUCGGCUAGCCCUAAUCCCAGAGAUGCAUUUUGUAGAACAAAAAUCAUAUGGGGCGGGCACUAUAAAAUAUCAUAUGGGGCUGGCUUCAUAGUUUGCCAUGUUUCUCUUUAUAUCAAUUUUAAAGAAUAACUCUAAAAGUCAGAUUUUUUCUACUAAUGGAGUUAUUAGUCUCAUGAUUAAAAAAGGCAUUCUCUUUUUUCCUUAUUUUCAGCACAUAUUUUUUUAGUGAUACAUACUAUAUGACCAUAUGAUACAUGCUAAAUAAAUUAAUCAUUAAACAAAUUAAUACACACCUACAAAUAAAUUGAUAUGCAAUUUUCAAAAUAUGGAGUUUACUAAUAUGUAGUAUAUAGCUAGGUGAUACAUAAUGUUAGUUUUUUUGAUAUAUAUCAUGUAACGAUUCAAUACAUAUCUAUAAAUAAAUUGAUACAUAAUUUAUCGAACUUAGUAUUCACUAGUAUACAAUAUAUGACUAGUUGAUACACGUAGCAAAAAUAUUCAUCCGGUGUUCCAAUACACAUCUCUAGGUAAAACGAUACAUAAUUUUCAAAAUAUAGUACUCAUUAAUACGUAGUGUAUGACCAAAUGAGACGCACUAGAUAGCUUAUUGAUACAUACUGUAAGUUUUUUUAAUACACCCACCAAUGACAUAAUACGCUCCUAUAGAUAAAUUGAUAUAUAGUUAAUUAAACUUAGUAUUCACCACUAUAUAGUAUAUAGUCAGUUGAUACGCAUCUAACAAACUAUUCAUCCAGUGUUCCAAUACAUAUUUCGAGAUAAAAUGAUGCACAGUUUCUAUGAACUUUUAGAUGCAAAAAAUUUUAGAAAAGAGGAGGGAUUUGGAAGAGAAGAAAGAGACUCUGGAGGAAGACCUUAUGGAUUGGAGAAAUGGAUUGACGAAGAAGAUAAGAGAUGGAGCAGCUUGAUGAGGAAGAAAAAGAAUAUAGACUGUCACGAAGGGUCUCUUUUAGGUGCAGUGCAGUUGCAUAAUUUAAGGAGGCUGAAUUCUAGCUGAGUUUGUGGCAUAGGGACUUUGAUGUUUCUAUUAGUUGUUUGAAAAGUUUUGAUCCUAUUUUUGUGACGUUUUUUGACGCUUGGACAUUUGUGACAUUUUGAUUGUGUCAGCUGAACGUACGAGUGUUUCUUCAAUCUUCUCCUAACUGACGAAGUGGAAUAUUCAUUUUGCCCAUGAACGUGAUGAUAGUUGCAUUAUGGUUGAAGUUGAUCGAUGACCACUCAAACUGUACGUUAAAAGAACUGUGGACGAUGUUUGAGCGGUGGUUCCCUGGAAAGAAAAAUUAUAGUGUUAAUGCAAUGACAACUCUUCAAAGAAUAAUAGAACCGAAAGUCGUAAACUUCAUACCUUUGUUUAUUUUAGGGAAUUACGACCAAUGGUACGUCCAAAAGUUGAAGUGCAAUCAUGUUCCGUAAGGGUUUGGUCUUUUUGGUGGAAUCAACGAUAUUAAGGGAUUGUAUUCGGAGUUCUGUAGGUGGAGCUACAACUCAAGUUGUCAGCGUAUGGUAGGUGUAGGAAGCACCACUGCAAGCAAGAUGCACAGCCUCAGCAACUUCAAACCAAGUUUAAGAAACAGAAAAAGAGGAGUUGCAACUGAGACACUAUACCAGGAAGGAGUUGGUUGAAACCACCACUGCC
Elaeis guineensis (African oil palm) is the source of this 1704-nucleotide non-coding RNA. The record is from RefSeq and is a predicted model, not a curated record. Lineage: Eukaryota; Viridiplantae; Streptophyta; Magnoliopsida; Arecales; Arecaceae.